This 212-nucleotide unclassified non-coding RNA is filed under the name Hevea brasiliensis (rubber tree). Lineage: Eukaryota; Viridiplantae; Streptophyta; Magnoliopsida; Malpighiales; Euphorbiaceae. The record is from RNAcentral.
UUAAAAGUAGUCAAUGCUGAUAGGAUAGUUUUAACUGAGUUAGAGGUGAUAGAUUAGGACUGUGGGCUUGUGUUGCAUAUGAUUACUCUGUACAAAUUUAGAAACAUUUAUAGGAAGGAUGGUCAUUUGAUUUGUGGUGUCUUCCAUAUAGUAGACUUUACAUAAUGAUUUUGUUGGUUGAUGCUCUUUCUUUGUUGAGCUUAUGUUUCAUG